AGAACGAACGCUGGCGGCAGGCUUAACACAUGCAAGUCGAGCGCCCCGCAAGGGGAGCGGCAGACGGGUGAGUAACGCGUGGGAACAUACCCUCCGGUUCGGAAUAGCUCAGGGAAACUUGGAUUAAUACCGGAUACGGCCUAGCGGCGAAAGAUUGAUCGCCGGAGGAUUGGCCCGCGUCUGAUUAGCUAGUUGGUGGGGUAAUGGCCCACCAAGGCGACGAUCAGUAGCUGGUCUGAGAGGAUGAUCAGCCACAUUGGGACUGAGACACGGCCCAAACUCCUACGGGAGGUAGCAGUGGGGAAUAUUGGACAAUGGGCGCAAGCCUGAUCCAGCCAUGCCGCGUGAGUGAUGACGGCCUUAGGGUUGUAAAGCUCUUUCGCUAGGGACGAUAAUGACGGUACCUAGACAAGAAGCCCCGGCUAACUUCGUGCCAGCAGCCGC
This 444-nucleotide ribosomal RNA is filed under the name uncultured bacterium. RNAcentral describes it as "SSU rRNA". It matches the Rfam family "Bacterial small subunit ribosomal RNA", at positions 26 to 518 of the family's 1533-position model. The record is from RNAcentral.